Aethina tumida (small hive beetle) is the source of this 502-nucleotide long non-coding RNA. RefSeq lists it as uncharacterized. The record is from RefSeq and is a predicted model, not a curated record. The transcript is spliced from 2 exons. NCBI's taxonomy places the organism in Eukaryota, Metazoa, Arthropoda, Insecta, Coleoptera, Nitidulidae.
UGGAAAUGUUUCCAUAGUGUGGAUCUAGGUUUCAACUCAUCUAUCAUCUGAGAAUGAAGCUUGUUUAUAGCAAUUAUAAUUUUAGAUUAGUGCCGAAGUAAUUCUUCCUUAAAUUUUAAUCUGUACUGUAAUCACUAAAUGUGUUUCCUAAAAAAAUAUGUUGCAUAUAACUUUUAAGUACCUCCACUGAAUAGUUGAAGGUUAAAAAAAUCGACAAUGGGUCGAAACCAUUUAUUAACAACCAAACUUAUAUUAAAUUAACCACAUAACUUAAAGGUACACAAAGUAGUUUUAUUUGGAAAAUUAUAUUAUAUAUAAAUAUUUGGGAAUCACAUUUAUAGUCAUUUAGUGUGGGUUGAAAUAUAAGGAUGAAUUUGAUUCGGAACAGUUCUACCAUUUAGUAUAACUCAUCUCAUCUCGAUAUUUCUUUGCUCUGUCAAUUUGUUGACACUGUGGAUUCAAACGAAUAGAAUUAUACCAAAAAAUAUAACUGAACCACAAC